RNAcentral lists this ribosomal RNA (436 nucleotides) under uncultured bacterium. Its description in RNAcentral is "bacterial SSU rRNA". It matches the Rfam family "Bacterial small subunit ribosomal RNA", at positions 355 to 786 of the family's 1533-position model. The record is from RNAcentral.
UGAGGAAUAUUGGUCAAUGGACGCAAGUCUGAACCAGCCAUGCCGCGUGCAGGAAGAAGGUGCUAUGCAUUGUAAACUGCUUUUAUACGGGGGUAAGUUACAGAUACGUGUAUCUGGUUGAAAGUACCGUAUGAAUAAGGAUCGGCUAACUCCGUGCCAGCAGCCGCGGUAAUACGGAGGAUCCGAGCGUUAUCCGGAUUUAUUGGGUUUAAAGGGUGCGUAGGCGGUCAGGUAAGUUAGAGGUGAAAGCUCGAUGCUCAACAUCGAAACUGCCUCUGAUACUGUCUGACUAGAGUGUAGUUGCGGAAGGCGGAAUGUGUGGUGUAGCGGUGAAAUGCUUAGAUAUCACACAGAACACCGAUUGCGAAGGCAGCUUUCCAAGCUAUUACUGACGCUGAGGCACGAAAGCGUGGGGGAGCGAACAGGAUUAGAUACC